Molecule: RNA transcript, 6554 nt
Organism: Lytechinus pictus (painted urchin)
Lineage: Eukaryota; Metazoa; Echinodermata; Echinoidea; Temnopleuroida; Toxopneustidae
Gene name: mRNA cap guanine-N7 methyltransferase-like
Exons: 11
Source: RefSeq, a predicted model, not a curated record
GCCGUGCACGCAGUACAACACGUGUGAGUGGAUCCGUAAUUCUUGUACCUUUUUCUGUUUCCAGUAUCCAAAUAUUCCACCAAAUUAACACAAAUCAACAAAUAUGAGUGCAGACAGUACAGCAGAGGUAGCAGUAGAGCAGGCUCCUGAGGAGACCCCUGAAGCAGUGACAGAUGGAGGUGAUGCUACACAAGCAGAAGAGAAGAUGGAGGAAUCAACAGCAGCUCCAUCAGAAGAAACAACAGAAGGUACAACAGAAGCUGCGACGGAAGGUUCAACAGAAGCUAAGAAAGAAACGGGUAUGUCAGGGACCGUAGCAAAGCACUACAAUGAUCUAAGAGAAGGAACAUUGUUCGACAGAGCCAGGAGCAGAAUUUACUACCAACGAAAUUUCAAUAACUGGAUAAAGAGUAUGAUCAUCGCAAACUCAUUGAAGGCUGUUGACAGAAAGAAAGGUUGUACAGUACUUGAUCUUUGUUGCGGGAAAGGAGGAGAUCUUCUCAAAUGGACCAAAGGAAACCUCAAGAAAUUAGUCUGUGCAGAUAUCGCAGCUGUGUCAGUACAACAGUGUCAGAAGAGAUACAGAGACAUGGCAGACAGGAAUAGACGUACUGGUAAUGCAAAGACCUUUGCAGCAGAAUUCAUUGCAGCAGAUUGUGCUGAGGUACUUUUAUCAGAACGCUACCACGACAAGGACAUUGUCUUUGACCUGUGCAGCUGUCAGUUUUCCUUCCAUUACUCAUUUGAGACUGCCGCUAGGGCAAGGACUAUGCUCAGGAACGCCUGUGAGAGACUGCGACCCGGUGGAUACUUUGUCGGAACCAUUCCUAAUGGAUACGAGCUUGUAUCAAGGUUAAAAGCGAGUGAAGAUCUGUCAUUCGGCAAUGAUGUGUACAAGGUCACCUUUGAGAACAAAGAUUCUUUCCCACUCUAUGGAUGCAAGUAUGAUUUCCAUCUUGAGGGUGUAGUUGAUUGUCCCGAGUUCUUGAUCUACUUCCCUCUCCUUGAAGAGAUGGCUAAAGAGUUUGAUAUGGAAUUAGUGUACUUGAAGAAGUUCCAGGAAGUGUAUGAAGACAAUUGUGGGCCAACAGACAACCAAGCUCUCAUGUCAAAGAUGCAAGCUCUUGAGCAAUACCCUCCUGAGAAGGGUACCCCUCCAGCCAGUAAGAAAGAUGAAGACUACAGCCAUGCUGAGACUAGGCAUACGGAGGUCAUGGGUAUGGAGAAUGAAGAGAAGAAACCAACAUCCAUCGGCACCCUCUCCAAGUCCGAAUGGGAGGCAUCUAGCCUCUACUGUGCCUUUGCUUUCAAGAAAGCUGGAGACUUCGAGGAAGAGGAAGAAGAGGAGGAGGCACCCGCUGAAGAGGAGAAGAAGGAGGAGGAAGAGAAGACGGAAGAGGUUGCCAAUGGCAAUGGUGACGAAGCUGCCGAAGCGGAAGGUGAAGGUGGGGAGGAGGGCGGAGCCGAGGCAGAAGCAGAGGCAGAGGCUGAAGAAGGAGGUGGAGAAGAAGAAGCUCAAUGAGUGGGGAAAGAAAUCCAUAAUACCUGAUUGACUAUGAAUACAGGUGAGAACACUUACAUCUAGGAGUAUAAUAUUGUCAUAUAUACAGACACCUUGGCCCGGAUUCUGAAGUCAGGGUUAACUUAGACCAUGGUCUAACUCUGCUAAAAUUAUGGGGAGCCAAAAUUCAAAAUUUCUGUCUAUAUUAAUAUAUUUCAAAUGUUCACUUUUUUGCUUCCUUUUGCUUUCAAAACGAGAAAUAAUACUUCAAAAUACUUCAGUCAUCAUUCCCACACAAUUAUGAACAAUUUGAGUGUUGUAUCAUUUAAUAAAUUGUAUGUGUAUUUUUAGUGAUAUAUGCCCCGAUUGGCUCUCCAUAGUUAAACCACAACUUUAAACCAGGGUUUAAUUUCAACCCAAGUUCAGAAUAUGGGCCUCUGGGUGAAAUUGUUUGCUGAGGACUACCUUGUCUUCAUGGUGUGUCUGCAAAUCUCUUCACCCAGUCUAUCCCCGAUUCAAACCUUCAAAGCUCUUAUACACUCCCCAUUUUAUAAGUUGACCUCUAGUGAGUAAACACUUUGGUUUAGUCAAUGGGAUUCAUCAGACCCCUCGGUUUAAUCAUCUGAAGUUAGUCAUAGACACCGUUCUCACUUCCUUCCUAAAACUAGUUUACUGGAAACUAGAUUAACGUGUAGUGAGAAAGGUCGAAGCUAUCUUAUUAACCGGUUCAGAAAACCACCUCGCAAUGUAGUUUUCAAGAUCGUGAGGACACACCUGUUCUUCGGGAAGCGAUCUUCGCACAUUUUGAGCGCGCUGCUCCACACGACAUGUGUAGAAUGCCUACGCUGCGGUUUCAAAUAUCGCGCGAAACGUGUCACCCCACGAGAGCGUUUCCAUAGCAACAAGAUCGCUUUAUGUGAAGUGAUUUUUAAUACCACUUUCGUGUGAUCAAGUGGGAACGCUAGCAAAGCGAUCUUCCAAACCGGUUUCCUGAAUCGGUUUCCAGUAAACUAGUUUUAGAAAGCGUAAUGAGAACGGCCUCAUAUAAAUUUAUUUAGUUUUGGUUUGAGCAGUUUUAUCGGUCUCUUCAGUUUAGUAGUUUAGAUAAGCCUAACUGGAAAUAAAAUGGUGGAUGGGCUAAAUGGCAAAUAGACGAAAUGGUGAAUGUGAACUAGAAUUAGAUCAUGUUUGAUGAGGCUAAAUGGAAAAUAUACAAAUUGGUUACAGACCAAAUGGCAAUUCACCAUUUACCUUAGCACAAGUCAUUGAUAAAUAUACAUGUACCUUUACAUGAUUCAAAAUGACUGCAUUAAUGGGAGCUCAAGUUAUGUUCAACAAGCUCCCAAAUUCUAUGCUCUAUCUCUACUGAUUUUAACUACCUUGAAGCAUCAGUCUGUUUGAGAGACAGAAAAUUAAUAGCGCCAUCUUCUGGUGACUUUAUUACAUUUGCUUCUUCAGAUAUUUGACUGUUGAAUCAUUUUAUACAAAGCCCAUUUCCUAUUUUGAGCUAUUGAUAUAUGCCUUGAGCAUGGGUUGAAUUGUAGAGCUAACAUUUACAUUUUGUCACCAUUUUUUUUUUGUCAUGAAUUAGCAUGUUAAUUUGGCUAUUGUCAUUUCCAUGGCAAUGCACGUGAUUAGGAUUUUUAUUUUCAUUUUAGUAUCUAGCAAUCAAUCAUGAUGUUAGGAUUCAAUUAUUUCAUUUAUGUAUGAUUAGAAUUCAUGAACAGGAAUAUCAACCUACACAUACUGAAAGAUUACAAUGCAUUGCAUUGCAUUUAUCUUUAUUUUUUAUUCUGUAUGUUUAAUCAUAAAAUACAUUAGACAAUUGUAUUGUUCUGUGGAAAAUUGAAUGACUGUUUAUGGCACUUAUUUCUAACAUUGUGUUUAUGUUUUUUAAUGAGAGAUUGUGAUCAAAUUUUUACACUGUAAAUCAGCUAUUCAUCAGUCAUCUUCUUUUAAUCACUCAUCAAUUAUUUCUUUACUUCUGUCAUGUUUUACAUAUACAGGAUGAGCAUCAGAAGGAAUACCACAUAAGAAAAGUAAAGUCAUCCGCAGGAUUUAAACCGAUUAAGACAUUCAGGGGAAAGGAAAUUAAAGGCAUGGUUAAAUAAUUACCUUUAAAUCAACACUUAAUGGGCACACAGUCCUCUUUUAAGAGACAGAAGGAUUUAAAUCAUACAUUUAUAAAGGAGUUAUUGGCCUUCUGUUUCUCAACAGAGUGUGUGUUGGUUCACCUAUUCAUGUUGUAUAUUUUUCGUGGUUUUUUUUAUCAAAGACACCAUUGAAUUUUCAUUUGUCUUGCUUUGUAGAUUUCAGUUUGUAAAAUGUUAAUACUCAAUCAGAUUAUGCUCCAUUUGAGUUCAUUUUGUUUUAAAGAAGAUAAAUGCAAAUUGACAGGGUGCAGAUUACUGAUAUAUGCCAUCUAAGCACUUGUCUCAAUUUCAUUUAUCAUAGAAAGAUUUAUGGUGUGAUAUGAGGGCCCGUUUAGCAUAAAUGGAUGUCAAAUGGUGGAUAUAAGAUAAGAUACAUGUGAUGUCUGUCACAGAAUCUUUGUAUGUUUUGAUAAUGAUCUCGUCCUUUUCAAGACAAUCCCUUGAUGAUGUAGAAUUCAGUAGAAAACUUUUCAGCUUGCAUAGAAACUGUUAUUUUGCAUAUAUAUUUGAAUCUUACAAUUUGUCCUAAAAUAUAUUUUCGUUGGAGAUUAUUAUUUUCUUUUCUUUUUUUACAUACACUGCUGAUUUUGUAUUGAGUAUUUUUGGAAUUAAAACGACAGUUAGGAUUGUUGCAUCUUGUAUAAAAGCUAUCAUAUAAAUCCAUUUUGUUUGUGUGUAAUGCAGAAGUCUAUUGUGUACUUAUGGUAUACUCUAUAAAUCAAGGAGGGUUUUACCAUCAUUGAAUACAAGUCUGUACAUAGAAUGUAUUUGUUACGUUUAGAAUGAUAUGCACAAUGAAUUAUGAUUAAUCCCAGUGAAGAGCUCUGAUUGAUAAUUGUUAAGCGCUUUGAGCAGUCGUAGAUUGAUUAAGUGCUAUACAAAUGACAAUUAUUAUUAUUUCCUAAUGUUUCGUACCACCUCAGGACUUUUUGUUUUUAUUUUACCCAAAGUUGGCAGUUCCUUCAAUACAAGACGAUCUGUGUAGGUGAGGUAUGUCAUUCUCCCAGCCCUAUAAAAACUAUUUUGAGCCUCAGUUUAUUACCAUCCCAUAGAAAUGUGCAUAUGACGAUAAUCCAUGUUUCUGUUUCGAAGAAUUAAGGCUCUUCAUGAUUUCGUGAAAUAGGUCCGAAGCGGGUUGUUUCACUUUCACGUAUACUUAGUGUAACAGAAGCAAUGUGUCUCCCCAGUAUGCAUUGGCUAGUGCGGGUGCUGUAUUAUAACCUGAGCGACUUUACCUCACACUUAAAUCCUUGUGAAAUAUUUCAUGGGGUUCCAAUUUAGAUGCAAUUCUGCAAUGCUAUGCAUCUUAGAUGGCAUUCACCUUCAAAUAGGCAGAGCAUGGGAGAUUUCACUGUCCAGUUUUCAAGUCUGACUUGGAAAUCAAAUGGCUUGAUCUGGUGGGUGUUUCAUAAAGCUGUUCAUAAGUUACAAUAUCUAGGAUUAGCUCCUGUGUGAUAUUACAUGCUACAAAUGAGAUUAUUGACGAAUUGGAUUAUUGUAUGUUGUUUCAUUGUUGUGUUUAUGCUUCAUUUUAGAUCUAUGUUAACAACAGCAUGAUUUAAACUUUUAAAGACUUAUUUUCAGUGCCUUUCCUUGAAAGAGUGACAAACAUGUUUGUUAAAAAAAUAUUCUCUUUUUACUCUCUAACUCCUAAAUACCAUUUUAGGAGCUAAUUAAAUUCUAAGAGAAAAAACUUUUAAAAAUAGAAAUGACCGGGAGCUAGUACCACAAAUGUUAGUGACUGAUCGUGUGAUUGAUCCUGGGGAUUGAUUGUAGAUUGUGGUCAAUGCAAUCAAUCAUUGAACUUUGUUCUGAAACUAAUUGCAAAGCUGAGUGUGAAAUGACCCUUGACUGGCUCUUUAUGCUUUGCAUCCUCAAAGCACUGUACGUAUUACAAUCCAAUCGUACAGGGAAUUAUUUCGCGCUUUUUACUUCUACAGACGAUGUCUGCCACACAAACUGGCCAAAUUUUGUUAUUUAUUGCUGUUUGUGUUUUAGCACGAAGUGAUCGAGUUAUGUACAUAAUUAAGAUUUAAAAAAGUGACAGUUGGUUGGUGACUAUGUCAUUUUCUCUGAUAUCUGUUUAAUGUUAUGCAAUCUUAUAAUAUGCUCUAUUUAGGGGAAGGGGUGAAUUCAUUGACUGUCUGUAUUAUAUCAAAAUUAUGAUACUUUUGAUUGAAAGGGCUUGUAGAAUUUUAUUUUUACUGAAGGAAAUUCCUCUUUCUGCUUCCCUUACGUAUAUUAAGUAUGAUUCGGAAGCAUUUAUUGAUAUUUCUUUAGCGUGUGAUUUGCCCUACUGCUGAAUGGACUUGUUCAUGGAUCGAUAUCUUACACUAAAGAUUACACAAGGUAGAAUAGAAACGUGUGUGAAACAUACUGGAAUUUCUUUUGUUACUAUAAAAUGCAUUCCUUUACAUGAUCUAAUUAUGUUAAUAAUAAAGAUUCAGGGAGCUGACAUAGAAUUGAUUUAAGAGCAAGCAUUGCAUAUAGAACUUGAAUGGAAGUGUCAAUAAUUGUUGCAUGGCGUAGGGAUGGGAUAGUUCUUAUGAACAAAUUGUUAAAAUAGGAUUGUAAUGUUGUUGUAUAGGGGUUUAACAACCCACUUUUGAUGUGAUAUUAUUUUGAAUUCCCAACUUUGUGUGGGCUUUUAUUUUUGCUUCUUUUUGGUAAUGUAUAGUUAUGAUCAGUGGUGUAUGAAAAUUAGGACACUGCAGAAGUUUCCUCCCAUGAAAUAUUUCCCUCCCAUUUUUCGUUGAUGUACAUUGCUUUGUUUUUGGUAAUUACUUGAGAAAAAAAAUGCAUAACAAUUUUUGUAGUAUGGCUCAGAAUUCUGUAAAGAAUUUUAAAUGUUGUAGAAGUGUAACAAUAGCUCAAUUAAAAAGACUGGAAUGUAUUCUAAA